RNAcentral lists this ribosomal RNA (1183 nucleotides) under 'Catharanthus roseus' phytoplasma. RNAcentral's name for it is "bacterial SSU rRNA". It matches the Rfam family "Bacterial small subunit ribosomal RNA", at positions 153 to 1336 of the family's 1533-position model. Lineage: Bacteria; Bacillati; Mycoplasmatota; Mollicutes; Acholeplasmatales; Acholeplasmataceae. The record is from RNAcentral.
GAAACGACUGCUAAGACUGGAUAGGAGACAAGAAGGCAUCUUCUUGUUUUUAAAAGACCUAGCAAUAGGUAUGCUUAGGGAGGAGCUUGCGUCACAUUAGUUAGUUGGUGGGGUAAAGGCCUACCAAGACUAUGAUGUGUAGCUGGGCUGAGAGGUUGAACGGCCACAUUGGGACUGAGACACGGCCCAAACUCCUACGGGAGGCAGCAGUAGGGAAUUUUCGGCAAUGGAGGAAACUCUGACCGAGCAACGCCGCGUGAACGAUGAAGUAUUUCGGUACGUAAAGUUCUUUUAUUAGGGAAGAAUAAAUGAUGGAAAAAUCAUUCUGACGGUACCUAAUGAAUAAGCCCCGGCUAACUAUGUGCCAGCAGCCGCGGUAAUACAUAGGGGGCAAGCGUUAUCCGGAAUUAUUGGGCGUAAAGGGUGCGUAGGCGGUUAAAUAAGUUUAUGGUCUAAGUGCAAUGCUCAACAUUGUGAUGCUAUAAAAACUGUUUAGCUAGAGUAAGAUAGAGGCAGGUGGAAUUCCAUGUGUAGUGGUAAAAUGCGUAAAUAUAUGGAGGAACACCAGUAGCGAAGGCGGCUUGCUGGGUCUUUACUGACGCUGAGGCACGAAGGCGUGGGGAGCAAACAGGAUUAGAUACCCUGGUAGUCCACGCCGUAAACGAUGAGUACUAAACGUUGGGUAAAACCAGUGCUGAAGUUAACACAUUAAGUACUCCGCCUGAGUAGUACGUACGCAAGUAUGAAACUUAAAGGAAUUGACGGGACUCCGCACAAGCGGUGGAUCAUGUUGUUUAAUUCGAAGGUACCCGAAAAACCUCACCAGGUCUUGACAUGCUUCUGCAAAGCUGUAGAAACACAGUGGAGGUUAUCAGUUGCACAGGUGGUGCAUGGUUGUCGUCAGCUCGUGUCGUGAGAUGUUGGGUUAAGUCCCGCAACGAGCGCAACCCUUAUUGUUAGUUACCAGCACGUAAUGGUGGGGACUUUAGCAAGACUGCCAGUGAUAAAUUGGAGGAAGGUGGGGACGACGUCAAAUCAUCAUGCCCCUUAUGACCUGGGCUACAAACGUGAUACAAUGGCUGUUACAAAGGGUAGCUGAAGCGCAAGUUUUUGGCGAAUCUCAAAAAAACAGUCUCAGUUCGGAUUGAAGUCUGCAACUCGACUUCAUGAAGUUGGAAUCGCU